RNAcentral lists this ribosomal RNA (301 nucleotides) under uncultured bacterium. RNAcentral's name for it is "partial 16S ribosomal RNA". It matches the Rfam family "Bacterial small subunit ribosomal RNA", at positions 509 to 807 of the family's 1533-position model. The record is from RNAcentral.
CAGUCGCCGCGGUAAUACGAGGGGGGCAAGCGUUGUUCGGAAUUAUUGGGCGUAAAGCGUGCGUAGGCGGCUUCUUAAGUCGGAUGUGAAAUCCCUGAGCUUAACUUAGGAAUUGCAUUCGAUACUGGGAAGCUAGAGUAUGGGAGAGGAUGGUAGAAUUCCAGGUGUAGCGGUGAAAUGCGUAGAGAUCUGGAGGAAUACCGAUGGCGAAGGCAGCCAUCUGGCCUAAUACUGACGCUGAGGUACGAAAGCAUGGGGAGCAAACAGGAUUAGAUACCCCCGUAGUCCCUGUCUCUUAUAC